RNAcentral lists this ribosomal RNA (396 nucleotides) under uncultured bacterium. Its description in RNAcentral is "partial 16S ribosomal RNA". It matches the Rfam family "Bacterial small subunit ribosomal RNA", at positions 523 to 918 of the family's 1533-position model. The record is from RNAcentral.
AUACGUAGGUGGCAAGCGUUGUCCGGAAUUAUUGGGCGUAAAGCGCAUGUAGGCGGUUUGGUAAGUCGGUCGUGAAAAUGCGGUGCUUAACGCCGUAUGGCGAUUGAAACUGCUGAACUUGAGUGCAGGAGAGGAAAGGGGAACUCCCAGUGUAGCGGUGAAAUGCGUAGAUAUUGGGAAGAACACCGGUGGCGAAGGCGCCUUUCUGGGCUGUGUCUGACGUUCAGAUGCGAAAGCCAGGAUAGCAAACGGGAUUAGAUACCCCGGUAGUCCGGGCCGUAAACGAUGGGUACUAGGUGUGGGAGGUAUCGACUCCUUCCGUGCCGGAGUUAACGCAAUAAGUGCCCCGCCUGGGGAGUACGGCCGCAAGGCUUAAACUCAAAUGAAUUGACGGGG